AGCGUAUACGAUUAGAAGCGGCUAUACUGAGCUAUGGAAAACGAGGUCUAUGUUUUGUUGCAGCGAACCUCAGCCAUAAAUUGAGUAUUCCCCAUGAAAACCAGGAACGUCCGUUCCAGGCAGAGCUUGCAGACGUUUGUUGUUUCGACGGUAGGUUUACCACGACGCGCAUAAAAGUAUUCCGCUCAGGUGCGGGCCACAAACACAGCCUCGAGCACAGUGCUCCUGCGAGCCGCGAGCGCCUUGAUAACGUGUUGAGUAACGGGAGCAACGCGAACACAGCGGCGAUGUGAACAGAACGUGCAGUCCUGCGGCCUGUCGCGCGCGAGAUAGCGCUGUAAGAGUCGCGGUGUCGGGCUUUUUCGCGGACGCUCGCGUGAGGCCGAGUCUCGUGCAGCGCCCAGCGACAGACCACGUGCACUCGUGCACUCGACUGCGCGCUGCUGCCUGCAUGUGCAGCACCAGCUCGGAUACCAGCGUCAAUGCCAGAGCUAUCGAAACGCCAGGCUAGGAUGGGCCAGUGAAGCGCUCGCUCUGUGCCUGCCUUUUGAACAUUUCCCCGACUUUUCCUCGAUACACGGCCUCGACAUUCAAUGUGCGGCUCUAACUGCUACUCGACUCAAUGUUAGAGUUAGAAUCCUCGGUCGUGUGUUCAGGGCGGCUCGUUUGACUCCUUUCUCCUGGCAUUCGUGGCGCCAACGGAAUCAAGAUGACUCGGGGCGCCGUCGAACACGCGUUGGUGGCAUAUCCGAAAAUAUGGUUUUCCGGUUCGAGCGCCCAAGCGUCCACGCUUGUCCUUGCCUAAAAUGUAGCCUGCCCGGAUCACGCAUGCUUCGCGUACUCAAUGGACCUGCUUGGAGGCCACCCGUGGGCACGGCAAUUUGUGCAGAUGGAUUUGCGAGGCGGACAACUCGACGUCGUGCCCUGGCGACAUGCUCGCAGGCUCAUGCCGGGCGUUCACUUUACUUGACACGCCGAAUGGUGGAUUCGGUUCGAGAGACCGAUCGUGCGCUGCUUGCGGCCGUCGACGACUCGGCAUUCGACAGCAGCAUGGUACCUCUCAGGGCUGGUACGCUCGCAGAUGUUCCUGUCUCCCCUGUUCGGACUGCAACGAGACUUGCACCGGGCCUCGAGGCACCGCAUGGAUCGCUCUCAGCAGAGCGUGCGUCACUGCUGAGCACGAAGCGAGUGCAGAGGGGUCGACACUUCUGGAUCGACAGUUCUUAAUCGAGCUCGUCUGUACUGAUAUCCCAGAACUUGCAUCGUCAUCGACAACAUUGCGUUCCGCAAAUGCUUUGUCGAACGGAGCAACGAACGCAUUCGUAUGCAGCGGUUAGCGUACUCGCCGAGUGAUCGCCAAGAAGAAGCGGAUCAUCAUCGCAGGGUCCGGCAUCUGAAGCUGAGCCCGAGGAGGGCAUUGACGGGUGUCGUCUGUAGCCAUAGAAGGCAUGCACUGAGCGACGGAGCUGGUGUCCUCGUCCCCCAGAGCAGCCCACGGAGGGGCAGGCACAGUGGACACACAGGAAUCGCGGAUCACGGUGAUGGGUCCGCGCUGCAAAGCGCUUACCUGGGCUGUUUAUAGAAGAGGUGCACGAAUCGAGUGCGGCAUGGACCCGAACUGCUGCCUGAUGAUGAAAUGCGUUCGCGAGAGCGGGAAGCAGUAGAAUCGGGGCAUGCGCGUUGCUAUCAGCAGACCUCGACUGCUGAGACUGAACCAUGAGGCACCGGAGAGACCUGCUCAUUUCAGGCGGGGGAUGAGUUAGAGAGCGAUGAAAAGGUAUCGGUUGCUGGAAAGCCCGGAGAGACUUGUAAUGAUGACAGUGGGAACUGACCGAUUGUUUAUGGUGCACACCUGCUUUAGCGUAGUUGGACGUCUCUAAUUUUGUCUCAUAUAGAUAUAAAUCAAGUUUACCCAUUUCGGAGA
This 1924-nucleotide unclassified non-coding RNA is filed under the name Cyanidioschyzon merolae strain 10D. RNAcentral describes it as "hypothetical transcript". Lineage: Eukaryota; Rhodophyta; Bangiophyceae; Cyanidiales; Cyanidiaceae. The record is from RNAcentral.